GUCGGGGUGGCAGAGUGGCUUAAUGCGAUGGCUUGCUAAGCCAUUGGGCUGUUUCUAGGCCCGCCCGGGUUCGAAUCCCGGCCCCGGCG
This 89-nucleotide transfer RNA is filed under the name Candidatus Haloredivivus sp. G17. It matches the Rfam family "tRNA". Rfam says of the family: Transfer RNA (tRNA) molecules are approximately 80 nucleotides in length. Their secondary structure includes four short double-helical elements and three loops (D, anti-codon, and T loops). Further hydrogen bonds mediate the characteristic L-shaped molecular structure. tRNAs have two regions of fundamental functional importance: the anti-codon, which is responsible for specific mRNA codon recognition, and the 3' end, to which the tRNAs corresponding amino acid is attached (by aminoacyl-tRNA synthetases). tRNAs cope with the degeneracy of the genetic code in two manners: having more than one tRNA (with a specific anti-codon) for a particular amino acid; and 'wobble' base-pairing, i.e. permitting non-standard base-pairing at the 3rd anti-codon position. The record is from Rfam by way of RNAcentral. Lineage: Archaea; Methanobacteriati; Methanobacteriota; Candidatus Nanohaloarchaea.